CAUGCAAGUCGAGGGGCAGCAUGGUCUCUUCUUGCUAAGGCCGAUGGCGACCGGCGCACGGGUGAGUAACACGUAUCCAACCUGCCGUCUACUCUUGGACAGCCUUCUGAAAGGAAGAUUAAUACAAGAUGGCAUCAUGAGUCCGCAUGUUCACAUGAUUAAAGGUAUUCCGGUAGACGAUGGGGAUGCGUUCCAUUAGAUAGUAGGCGGGGUAACGGCCCACCUAGUCUUCGAUGGAUAGGGGUUCUGAGAGGAAGGUCCCCCACAUUGGAACUGAGACACGGUCCAAACUCCUACGGGAGGCAGCAGUGAGGAAUAUUGGUCAAUGGGCGAGAGCCUGAACCAGCCAAGUAGCGUGAAGGAUGACUGCCUUAUGGGUUGUAAACUUCUUUUAUAAAGGAAUAAAGUCGGGUAUGGAUACCCGUUUGCAUGUACUUUAUGAAUAAGGAUCGGCUAACUCCGUGCCAGCAGCCGCGGUAAUACGGAGGAUUCGAGCGUUAUCCGGAUUUAUUGGGUUUAAAGGGAGCGUAGAUGGAUGUUUAAGUCAGUUGUGAAAGUUUGCGGCUCAACCGUAAAAUUGCAGUUGAUACUGGAUAUCUUGAGUGCAGUUGAGGCAGGCGGAAUUCGUGGUGUAGCGGUGAAAUGCUUAGAUAUCACGAAGAACUCCGAUUGCGAAGGCAGCCUGCUAAGCUGCAACUGACAUUGAGGCUCGAAAGUGUGGGUAUCAAACAGGAUUAGAUACCCUGGCAGUCCACACGGUAAACGAUGAAUACUCGCUGUUUGCGAUAUACGGCAAGCGGCAAAGCGAAAGCGUUAAGUAUUCCACCUGGGGAGUACGCCGGCAACGGUGAAACUCAAAGGAAUUGACGGGGGCCCGCACAAGCGGAGGAACAUGUGGUUUAAUUCGAUGAUACGCGAGGAACCUUACCCGGGCUUAAAUUGCAGAUGAAUUACGGUGAAAGCCGUAAGCCGCAAGGCAUCUGUGAAGGUGCUGCAUGGUUGUCGUCAGCUCGUGCCGUGAGGUGUCGGCUUAAGUGCCAUAACGAGCGCAACCCUUGUUGUCAGUUACUAACAGGUUCUGCUGAGGACUCUGACAAGACUGCCAUCGUAAGAUGUGAGGAAGGUGGGGAUGACGUCAAAUCAGCACGGCCCUUACGUCCGGGGCUACACACGUGUUACAAUGGGGGGUACAGAGGGCCGCUACCACGCGAGUGGAUGCCAAUCCCAAAAACCUCUCUCAGUUCGGACUGGAGUCUGCAACCCGACUCCACGAAGCUGGAUUCGCUAGUAAUCGCGCAUCAGCCACGGCGCGGUGAAUACGUUCCCGGGCCUUGUACACACCGCCCGUCAAGCCAUGGGAGCCGGGGGUACCUGAAGUGCGUAACCGCGAGGAGCGCCCUAGGGUAAAACUGGUGACUGGGGCUAAG
RNAcentral lists this ribosomal RNA (1427 nucleotides) under uncultured organism. RNAcentral describes it as "SSU rRNA". It matches the Rfam family "Bacterial small subunit ribosomal RNA". The record is from RNAcentral.